CUAAGGUAGCAUAAUCAUUUGUUAUUUAAUUGAUAACUGGGAUGAAAGGUUAAACUAGCUUAUUAAGUUUGUUUAAUUAGAGAGAAAUUUAAAGUUAAGGUAAGAAUUCUUUAAUUUUCUAGGGGACGAUAAGACCCUAGAAGCUUGACAAACAGUUUUUUAGUUUUAGGCGGCAGUUUGUUUUACUGGGGCGGUAAAAAUAAUUAAGCUAUUUAUAAUUUAAAGGAUCCUUAAAAUAAAGAAAGAGUGGGUAAGUUACUCUAGGGAUAA
This 270-nucleotide ribosomal RNA is filed under the name Gammarus leopoliensis. RNAcentral's name for it is "partial 16S ribosomal RNA". The record is from RNAcentral. Lineage: Eukaryota; Metazoa; Arthropoda; Malacostraca; Amphipoda; Gammaridae.